This 351-nucleotide ribosomal RNA is filed under the name uncultured bacterium. RNAcentral describes it as "bacterial SSU rRNA". It matches the Rfam family "Bacterial small subunit ribosomal RNA", at positions 28 to 409 of the family's 1533-position model. The record is from RNAcentral.
GAUUAACGCUGGCGGCGUGCCUAAAACAUGCAAGUCGAGCGCCCCUUCGGGGGAGCGGGCGGACGGCUGAGUAACACGUUGGUACCUACCCAAACUCGGGAAUAAGCGCUGGAAACGGCGUCUAAUGCCCGAUAGUCUCUUCGGAGUAAAGCUUUUGCGGUUUGGGAGGGGCCUGCGCGGGAUUAGCUUGUUGGUGAGGUAACGGCCCACCAAGGCUACGAUCUCUAGCUGGUCUGAGAGGAUGAUCAGCCAGACUGGGACUGAGACACGGCCCAGACUCCUACGGGAGGCAGCAGUUAGGAAUCUUGCACAAUGGGGGAAACCCUGAUGCAGCAACGCCGCGUGGAGGAA